UGUUUUCCAAUUUUCUAGCCCACCCAAACUUUACAAAAUGCUAGAUAGCAUAUUAGUCACAAUCAUAUUCACAUCACUAACUAUAUCCGAAAAUGAAUGACCCUGGGAAAAAUUACAAAUAUUACAUGGAUUUCAUUCAAUCAAUGUUGAUGCAGAAGCAUCCUUGCCCUCUGUUGAAGUUGAGUCAAUGACCUAAUACAAGUGCCCUCUUCCCAUGUCUUUAAGCGUGUAAGGCUGAUUAGUUCCCGAAUAAAAACUACCAUUUCGUCAAGACUACUUUGCAUUGGCAACUUGUCUUCAGAUCCCUUGCUUCGGUGUUUCCCAUAUACAGCCUCAAAUUCUCUAGACUUACUGGCAGCUGUUCGUAGUACUGAGUCAGGG
This 381-nucleotide long non-coding RNA is filed under the name Gossypium raimondii (Peruvian cotton). RNAcentral describes it as "long non-coding RNA (GRAI_LNC007391)". The record is from RNAcentral. Lineage: Eukaryota; Viridiplantae; Streptophyta; Magnoliopsida; Malvales; Malvaceae.